GACCGCGUAGCUCACUUAGCAGAGCGUUGGGCUAGUAUUCCAAAGGUCGUAGGUUCGAUUCCCACCGUGGCCA
This 73-nucleotide transfer RNA is filed under the name Paramuricea clavata. It matches the Rfam family "tRNA". From Rfam's summary of the family: Transfer RNA (tRNA) molecules are approximately 80 nucleotides in length. Their secondary structure includes four short double-helical elements and three loops (D, anti-codon, and T loops). The record is from Rfam by way of RNAcentral. Lineage: Eukaryota; Metazoa; Cnidaria; Anthozoa; Malacalcyonacea; Plexauridae.